UAGGAACAGCUCCCGCGACCUCUGGGCCACGAGGACACGGGACCCCGCUUGAGUCAAAGGCGCAGACAACAGACAUGAGCUCCUUGCCUUUGAGGACUGGUUUCCUGCUUGACCGUGAGAGCUGCCACCACUGUGAAUCAGGCGCACCUACGUUCUUUCUCCGUGGGACUGGCUUCUGGGUAUUUGGCCAUACGAUCUGCUGGGAAAGGGGAGGAUCCAGUCCCUCCUGGUCCGAAUGAGCCAGACACCAACAUGGAGAAAGUGACAGGCCGGCUCCAGGCAUAAUCCCCACCUGCAGCAUUUCCAGCCCCAAAUCCUCUUCUUGCCUCAGUUAUCACCUCACUCGGUACC
This 351-nucleotide long non-coding RNA is filed under the name Canis lupus familiaris (dog). RNAcentral's name for it is "lncRNA (ENSCAFG00000058172.1, ENSCAFG00845013686.1)". Lineage: Eukaryota; Metazoa; Chordata; Mammalia; Carnivora; Canidae. The record is from RNAcentral.